GGGGAAUAUUGCACAAUGGGCGCAAGCCUGAUGCAGCCAUGCCGCGUGUGUGAAGAAGGCCUUCGGGUUGUAAAGCACUUUCAGCGAGGAGGAAGGCGUUAAGGUUAAUAACCUUGGGCGAUUGACGUUACUCGCAGAAGAAGCACCGGCUAACUCCGUGCCAGCAGCCGCGGUAAUACGGAGGGUGCAAGCGUUAAUCGGAAUUACUGGGCGUAAAGCGCACGCAGGCGGUUUGUUAAGUCAGAUGUGAAAUCCCCGAGCUUAACUUGGGAACUGCAUUUGAAACUGGCAAGCUAGAGUCUUGUAGAGGGGGGUAGAAUUCCAGGUGUAGCGGUGAAAUGCGUAGAGAUCUGGAGGAAUACCGGUGGCGAAGGCGGCCCCCCUGGACAAAGACUGACGCUCAGGUGCGAAAGCGUGGGGC
Molecule: ribosomal RNA, 421 nt
Filed under: uncultured bacterium
Lineage: Bacteria
Description: partial 16S ribosomal RNA
Rfam family: Bacterial small subunit ribosomal RNA
Source: RNAcentral